UACGUAGGGGGCUAGCGUUGUCCGGAUUUAUUGGGCGUAAAGAGCGUGUAGGCGGUCCGGUAAGUCCGUUGUGAAAGUCAAGGGCUCAACCCUUGAAUGCCGGCGGAUACUGUCGGGCUAGAGUCCGGAAGAGGCAAGUGGAAUUCCCGGUGUAGCGGUGAAAUGCGCAGAUAUCGGGAGGAACACCCGUGGCGAAGGCGGUUCUCUGGGACGGUACUGACGCUGAGACGCGAAAGCGUGGGGAGCGAACAGG
This 253-nucleotide ribosomal RNA is filed under the name uncultured bacterium. Its description in RNAcentral is "partial 16S ribosomal RNA". It matches the Rfam family "Bacterial small subunit ribosomal RNA", at positions 524 to 776 of the family's 1533-position model. The record is from RNAcentral.